Pan troglodytes (chimpanzee) is the source of this 5295-nucleotide RNA transcript. It is a transcript of the gene named class II major histocompatibility complex transactivator, with no coding region annotated. The record is from RefSeq and is a predicted model, not a curated record. The transcript has 21 exons. NCBI's taxonomy places the organism in Eukaryota, Metazoa, Chordata, Mammalia, Primates, Hominidae.
AGCUUGGCGGGCUCCCAACUGGUGACUGGUUAGUGAUGAGGCUAGUGAUGAGGCUGUGUGCUUCUGAGCUGGGCAUCCGAAGGCAUCCUUGGGGAAGCUGAGGGCACGAGGAGGGGCUGCCAGACUCCGGGAGCUGCUGCCUGGCUGGGAUUCCUACACAAUGCGUUGCCUGGCUCCACGCCCUGCUGGGUCCUACCUGUCAGAGCCCCAAGGGCCAGCAUCAGAGGAGUGAAUAGCUCAGUUAGCUCAUCUCAGGGGCCAUGUGCCCUCAGAGGUGGUUUGCCACUUUCACGGUUGGACUGAGUUGGAGAGAAACAGAGACCCACCCAGGGGUGGGGACAAGCUCCCUGCAAAUCAGGACUUGCAGAUCACUUGCCCAAGUGGCUCCCUAGCUCCUGGCUCCUGGCCCGGGGCCUGGGACUCUCCCCGAAGUGGGGCUGGCCACUGUGAGGAACCGACUGGAGGCAGGGACCUCUUGGAUGGCCCAGGCAGUUGGGAUGCCACUUCUGAUAAAGCACGUGGUGGCCACAGUAGGUGCUUGGUUGCUCCACAGCCUGGCCCGAGCUCAGCGCUGUAGAAAGAAAGUGAAAGGGAAAAAGAACUGCGGGGAGGCGGGGAGGUAGGAUGACCAGCGGACGAGCUGCCACAGACUUGCCGCGGCCCCAGAGCUGGCGGGAGGGAGAGGCCACCAGCAGCGCGCGCGGGAGCCCGGGGAACAGCGGCAGCUCACAGUGUGCCACCAUGGAGUUGGGGCCCCUAGAAGGUGGCUACCUGGAGCUUCUUAACAGCGAUGCUGACCCCGUGUGCCUCUACCACUUCUAUGACCAGAUGGACCUCGCUGGAGAAGAAGAGAUUGAGCUCUACUCAGAACCCGACACAGACACCAUCAACUGUGACCAGUUCAGCAGGCUGUUGUGUGACAUGGAAGGUGAUGAAGAGACCAGGGAGGCUUAUGCCAAUAUCGCGGAACUGGACCAGUAUGUCUUCCAGGACUCCCAGCUGGAGGGCCUGAGCAAAGACAUUUUCAAGCACAUAGGACCAGAUGAAGUGAUCGGUGAGAGUAUGGAGAUGCCAGCAGAAGUUGGGCAGAAAAGUCAGAAAAGACCCUUCCCAGAGGAGCUUCCGGCAGACCUGAAGCACUGGAAGCCAGCUGAACCCCCCACUGUGGUGACUGGCAGUCUCCUAGUGGGACCAGUGAGCGACUGCUCCACCCUGCCCUGCCUGCCACUGCCUGCGCUGUUCAACCAGGAGCCAGCCUCCGGCCAGAUGCGCCUGGAGAAAACCGACCAGAUUCCCAUGCCUUCCUCCAGUUCCUCGUUGAGCUGCCUGAAUCUCCCUGAGGGACCCAUCCAGUUUGUCCCCACCAUCUCCACUCUGCCCCAUGGGCUCUGGCAAAUCUCUGAGGCUGGAACAGGGGUCUCCAGUAUAUUCAUCUACCAUGGUGAGGUGCCCCAGGCCAGCCAAGUACCCCCUCCCAGUGGAUUCACUGUCCAUGGCCUCCCAACAUCUCCAGACCGGCCAGGCUCCACCAGCCCCUUCGCUCCAUCAGCCACUGACCUGCCCAGCAUGCCUGAACCUGCCCUGACUUCCCGAGCAAACAUGACAGAGCACAAGACGUCCCCCACCCAAUGCCAGGCAGCUGGAGAGGUCUCCAACAAGCUUCCAAAAUGGCCUGAGCCGGUGGAGCAGUUCUACCGCUCACUGCAGGACACGUAUUGUGCCGAGCCCGCAGGCCCCGAUGGCAUCCUAGUGGAGGUGGAUCUGGUGCAGGCCAGGCUGGAGAGGAGCAGCAGCAAGAGCCUGGAGCGGGAACUGGCCACCCCGGACUGGGCAGAACGGCAGCUGGCCCAAGGAGGCCUGGCUGAGGUGCUGUUGGCUGCCAAGGAGCACCGGCGGCCGCGUGAGACACGAGUGAUUGCUGUGCUGGGCAAACCUGGUCAGGGCAAGAGCUAUUGGGCUGGGGCAGUGAGCCGGGCCUGGGCUUGUGGCCGGCUUCCCCAGUACGACUUUGUCUUCUCUGUCCCCUGCCAUUGCUUGAACCGUCCGGGGGAUGCCUAUGGCCUGCAGGAUCUGCUCUUCUCCCUGGGCCCACAGCCACUCGUGGCGGCCGAUGAGGUUUUCAGCCACAUCUUGAAGAGACCUGACCGCGUUCUGCUCAUCCUAGACGCCUUCGAGGAGCUGGAAGCGCAAGAUGGCUUCCUGCACAGCACGUGCGGACCGGCACCGGCGGAGCCCUGCUCCCUCCGGGGGCUGCUGGCCGGCCUUUUCCAGAAGAAGCUGCUCCGAGGUUGCACCCUCCUCCUCACAGCCCGGCCCCGGGGCCGCCUGGUCCAGAGCCUGAGCAAGGCCGACGCCCUAUUUGAGCUGUCCGGCUUCUCCAUGGAGCAGGCCCAGGCCUACGUGAUGCGCUACUUUGAGAGCUCAGGGAUGACAGAGCACCAAGACAGAGCCCUGACGCUCCUCCGGGACCGGCCACUUCUUCUCAGUCACAGCCACAGCCCUACUUUGUGCCGGGCAGUGUGCCAGCUCUCAGAGGCCCUGCUGGAGCUUGGGGAGGACGCCAAGCUUCCCUCCACGCUCACGGGACUCUAUGUCGGCCUGCUGGGCCGUGCAGCCCUCAACAGCCCCCCCGGGGCCCUGGCAGAGCUGGCCAAGCUGGCCUGGGAGCUGGGCCGCAGACAUCAAAGUACCCUACAGCAGGACCAGUUCCCAUCCGCAGACGUGAGGACCUGGGCGAUGGCCAAAGGCUUAGUCCAACACCCACCGGGGGCCGCAGAGUCCGAGCUGGCCUUCCCCAGCUUCCUCCUGCAAUGCUUCCUGGGGGCCCUGUGGCUGGCUCUGAGUGGCGAAAUCAAGGACAAGGAGCUCCCGCAGUACCUAGCAUUGACCCCAAGGAAGAAGAGACCCUAUGACAACUGGCUGGAGGGCGUGCCACGCUUUCUGGCUGGGCUGAUCUUCCAGCCUCGCGCCCGCUGCCUGGGAGCCCUAGUCGGGCCAUCGGCGGCUGCCUUGGCGGACAGGAAGCAGAAGGUGCUUGCGAGGUACCUGAAGCGGCUGCAGCCGGGGACACUGCGGGCGCGGCAGCUGCUGGAACUGCUGCACUGCGCCCACGAGGCCGAGGAGGCUGGAAUUUGGCAGCACGUGGUACAGGAGCUCCCCGGCCGCCUCUCUUUUCUGGGCACCCGUCUCACGCCUCCUGAUGCACAUGUACUGGGCAAGGCCUUGGAGGCGGCGGGCCAAGACUUCUCCCUGGACCUCCGCAGCACUGGCAUUUGCCCCUCUGGAUUGGGGAGCCUCGUGGGACUCAGCUGUGUCACCCGUUUCAGGUCUAGCCUGGUCACCAUGCCUGGGUCUGAGGCCCUCCCUCCACAGGGCUGCCUUGAGUGACACAGUGGCGCUGUGGGAGUCCCUGCGGCAGCAUGGGGAGACCAAGCUACUUCAGGCAGCAGAGGAGAAGUUCACCAUCGAGCCUUUCAAAGCCAAGUCCCUGAAGGAUGUGGAAGACCUGGGAAAGCUUGUGCAGACUCAGAGGACGAGAAGUUCCUCGGAAGACACAGCUGGGGAGCUCCCUGCUGUUCGGGACCUAAAGAAACUGGAGUUUGCGCUGGGCCCUGUCUCAGGCCCCCAGGCUUUCCCCAAACUGGUGCGGAUCCUCACGGCCUUUUCCUCCCUGCAGCAUCUGGACCUGGAUGCACUGAGUGAGAACAAGAUCGGGGACGAGGGUGUCUCACAGCUCUCAGCCACCUUCCCCCAGCUGAAGUCCUUGGAAACCCUCAAUCUGUCCCAGAACAACAUCACUGACCUGGGUGCCUACAAACUCGCCGAGGCCCUGCCUUCACUCGCUGCAUCCCUGCUCAGGCUAAGCUUGUACAAUAACUGCAUCUGCGACGUGGGAGCCGAGAGCUUGGCUCGUGUGCUUCCAGACAUGGUGUCCCUCCGGGUGAUGGACGUCCAGUACAACAAGUUCACGGCUGCCGGAGCCCAGCAGCUCGCUGCCAGCCUUCGGAGGUGUCCUCAUGUGGAGACGCUGGCGAUGUGGACGCCCACCAUCCCAUUCAGUGUCCAGGAACACCUGCAACAACAGGAUUCACGGAUCAGCCUGAGAUGAUCCCAGCUGUGCUCUGGACAGGAGAAGGAAACCGAGGCUUAGGAGAUGAAGUCUGAGGUGUUGGUGGAGCUGGGAUUUAAACCAAAAUAUGUCCAACUGCAAAGCAUGUAAGUAACAAUUUUAGAGGGUAUAUGGAGGUGACCCUAAGUAACAAGGAAUCACAUAUAGUGAGCAAGCAAUUUGCUUUUCAGUUUUUGGUCAAUCCUUAUGAUUAUUUAGAGGAGAAAGUUCAGUUUGGUGCUGGUAUAUCUUAUGUUUAUCACCUGACAGUUGUUAUUCUCUUUUUAACAAAGAAUACAGGCCAAGGCCCUGUGUCUUUAGCUGGCUUUGGUAUUUGGCCAAAAGUUAAUGACUUUGGCAGUUAGUGUUUUUAUCCAAUGCCAAGUGAUGAUGAUUUUCUCUUUAGUGACAGACAUUUUUUAAAAAAUUAAUUCACAUACAAAAGUAGUUUUACAGAUGAAGCACUAAAACUAGUGCAUUUCAUCUUAAACUGCAAAUUAUAAAGGGAAUAAUAGUAACUUGACAGCGGAGAGACCUGGCAGACACCACGUUCACCAACUGAUCAAAGUUAACAUCGUCAGAAAGGGGACAGACGGCAUGUGCCUCUCGAUAAGAUGCACUGAAGACACACACUCACUUCUGCAAUAUUCCUGCCAAGAAUGCCUCAUCUGAAUCUAAUCUGGAGUAUAACCAUCAGACAAACCCAAAUUGAGAGACAGUUUACAAAACACCAGCCUUGUACUCUGCUAAUAUGUCAAUGUCACGAGAGAGAAAGACAGACUGAGGAGCUGAUCCAGACUGAAGAAGGCUCGAGAUUAAUGCAAAAGCUGAUCUGGGAUUGCAUCUUGGACCUCAACUCUCCCCUUUUUAUUGUUAAGGGACACUAUUGGGACAAUUUUUUUUUUUUCUUUUUGAGACAGGGUCUCGCUCAGUCACCCAGGCUGGAGUGCAGUGGUGCAAUAAUAACUCACUGCAGCCUUGAACUCCCGGACUCAAGCGAUCCUCCUGCCUGAGCCUUCCGAGUAACUGGGACUAUGGGCGUGUACCACAACACCUCGCUAUUUUUUUUUUUCCUACUUUUUUAGAGACGGGGUCUCACUAUGUUGCCCAGGCUGGUUUCAAACUCAAGUGAUCCUUCCACCUCAGCCUCCAUAAAAUUUGAAUAAAGUUGUAGAUGAGAUUGGUCA